UACGAAGGGGGCUAGCGUUGUUCGGAAUCAUUGGGCGUAAAGGGCGCGUAGGCGGAUCUUUAAGUCGGGGGUGAAAGCCCAGGGCUCAACCCUGGAAUUGCCUUCGAUACUGGAGAUCUUGAGACCGGAAGAGGUAAGUGGAACUGCGAGUGUAGAGGUGAAAUUCGUAGAUAUUCGCAAGAACACCAGUGGCGAAGGCGGCUUACUGGUCCGGUUCUGACGCUGAGGCGCGAAAGCGUGGGGAGCAAACAGG
Molecule: ribosomal RNA, 253 nt
Filed under: uncultured bacterium
Lineage: Bacteria
Description: partial 16S ribosomal RNA
Rfam family: Bacterial small subunit ribosomal RNA
Source: RNAcentral